Molecule: long non-coding RNA, 1690 nt
Organism: Helianthus annuus (common sunflower)
Lineage: Eukaryota; Viridiplantae; Streptophyta; Magnoliopsida; Asterales; Asteraceae
Exons: 10
Source: RefSeq, a predicted model, not a curated record
CUUCUCUCUCCUUUUUCUCUCAACAUGCUGACGGUGUGUCGAGUGUCGGUAAUGGUGGUGUCGGUUGGCUUCCUUAGGGCUUCAAAAGACGAUAUCUGAGCUGCGAUCCAUGACAACUCCGGUUAAAUCUCCGAAGAGGAAAUAUGUUAAGCCUAAUUUUAGUAGUGCUCCUCUUCGUCGAUCCAAUCGGUUGAAACAAGUAAACCCUAGCUCACCCGACGGCUUGAUUCCUGUCCGACGGUCUCUCCGACUUCCCUCAGAUCUGUCCACCAAGUCCCAGAUGGUGAAGAUCAGAAACAAGUGCUAGCAUUGAGAUAUUUGAAUAAGCUUUGUCGCUGUCGUGAUGUUCAUUCAACUGUAAAGAAUCUCCAAGCUUCAUCAGGGGACGCCUAAAAUCACCAUGGUCACGUAGUAAAAGAAAACACGCACUCCCUCCUCAGCUAUGGAAAAGCUUCUUUACACCAGAUGGAAAGCUUCGAGAUGGUGUUAAGUUUCUUAAAAAAGUUCGCAGUGGGACGAACUAGGGUUCUGCCAUUUCGGAACUGGUAGGAACAAAUCUGAAUUCAUACAAAUUGGGGACUAACUGGGAUUUCUUCGACACUUUCCGCCAUAGUUAUUAAAGCGAGCGCCAAGGCGCAAAUAAAGCCCGGACCCAACACAUCGCUCUGAGUGCGAAAGUAAUUUUACAAGAAGUGGACGACUCAUUCAGGGGGUUGUAUAUAUGUUCUUUUGUGUUAGGGUUCUUACCAUAAUGGCCUUUCCUAGGAUCAAGAAAGGCAUCUGUUUGUUUAGAUUGGAGUCAAUAUCCAGGCUGUAAAUGGAUCAAAGUUGGCAUUUGUGUGAAGUAUGCAGGGAGGUGGAGCUACCCCUUGGUAUUUUCUAAAUUGUGACUGGACGGGGUCCUGAAGUAGGUGCUCCUUUGGCUGCUCACCCCGAUUAUGUGCUUAAUGUAGAUGUCCCAAUCGAGUACUUUCUUUGGGUUCAUUUUUUUGUUGAUACCAUCAGACUAAAAUCAGCAACAUCAAAAGCUUCCAUGCACAUACAAGGGCUUUUAUCCUCUAUGAUUCCAACAAACGAACCCAUGUCACGAAGCCGAUUUUGACAUUUGCUUCUCUUCUUUCCGGAUAUCUCAAUAUCACCAAAUACCAAAACAUUUUCGUAGUCUUGCUGAUUCUUCACACCGUACACUACUGAUAUUUUAGGGGACCAUAUGGAUGAAAGUGCCUUGGAUGUGAUAGAAUUAUUUGUGGGAAAUUUUGUAAUAUAAGCCUUCAAAGAUGCACCUUCACGCCCUUCUAGACUAUAUGAAUCCGGUUCUUUGUUCGCAUAAGAGCAUAAUAAUGUCAAAAGAGUAUGUGGAGAUCUCUAGAAAGAAGACUAAGAAGGACCUAAGCUCCAGCAUUUCAAUUCAGGAAGGUGGUGAAUAUGAAGAAUAACAAGGAGUGGAUGCCUACACAUGAAGAGAUGGGAUACCUUGAAUUGAGGCAAAGAUUGAAGGCAUCGGCUAGAAAGAAGACUAAGAAGGACCUAAGCUCCAGCAUCUGAAAUUCAUGGGAGAAAACGAAUAAAAAUGCCCUAUGGCAAGUUAGUAUCAUUCUUUUGGUUUUGUUAAAUAUUCACGUGGAUAAGAUCAAUGGGAGAAAACGAAAAAGUGAAACCACUGUUUUGGGUUAAACAGUGUUUUGAAACC